GCUUGUCUCAAAGAUUAAGCCAUGCAUGUCUAAGUAUAACUCUUUUACUUUGAAAACUGCGAACGGCUCAUUAUAUCAGUUAUAGUUUCUUUGAUAGUCCCUUACUACUUGGAUACCCGUAGUAAUUCUAGAGCUAAUACAUGCUAAAAACCCCGACUUCGGAAGGGGUGUAUUUAUUAGAUACAAAACCAAUGCCCUUCGGGGCUCCUUGGUGAUUCAUGAUAACUAUACGAAUCGCACGGCCUUGCGCCGGCGAUGGUUCAUUCAAAUUUCUUCCCUAUCAACUUUCGAUGUUUGGGUAUUGGCCAAACAUGGUUGCAACGGGUAACGGAGGGUUAGGGCUCGACCCCGGAGAAGGAGCCUGAGAAACGGCUACUACAUCCAAGGAAGGCAGCAGG
This 398-nucleotide ribosomal RNA is filed under the name Sarocladium strictum. Its description in RNAcentral is "partial small subunit ribosomal RNA". It matches the Rfam family "Eukaryotic small subunit ribosomal RNA", at positions 30 to 432 of the family's 1831-position model. The record is from RNAcentral. Lineage: Eukaryota; Fungi; Ascomycota; Sordariomycetes; Hypocreales; Sarocladiaceae.